Neodiprion fabricii is the source of this 323-nucleotide long non-coding RNA. RefSeq lists it as uncharacterized. The transcript has 2 exons. NCBI's taxonomy places the organism in Eukaryota, Metazoa, Arthropoda, Insecta, Hymenoptera, Diprionidae. The record is from RefSeq and is a predicted model, not a curated record.
GGUACUGCCAUCUUUCGCGCGUGUAUCGAACUCUAUUUUUUGCUACACCUGUAACGGAAAGUCCGACAUACACGAUUAUAUUUACACGAAACCACGGCACGAUGUCUGUUCAGUGACGAUGUCGAGCACGGCAAAGAGUGACAAACUAUUCCGUCGGUGGCGCUAGUGCAGCUGUUUGCGAAAUGCGCAACUGUGGAUAAAAGCGCGACCGUCUUUUUCGCACACCGCUAGCAACGUGCGAAGGUUUUUUUCUCACACCGCUAGCGAUGCGCGAAAGUUUUUCCCGCACGUGUGUAUAAAAGACUACUUUCGGUGCUUGUAAA